Molecule: long non-coding RNA, 2306 nt
Filed under: Anser cygnoides (Swan goose)
Lineage: Eukaryota; Metazoa; Chordata; Aves; Anseriformes; Anatidae
Description: lncRNA (ENSACDG00005019040.1)
Source: RNAcentral
GAAAAUUCAGCUUAGCUGAUAAUAUUUAUACAAUAAUUCAGUAACAGCCGCUCAUAAAACAGACCCUGCCCCAUAAAAUUUACAAUGUAAAGCAGACAUAUAAAUGGGAUGAAAUGGCAAUAAUAUAAUGUUAUAGGGACUUGGUGUAGGGAAGCUGUUGACCAAGGCCAUCCAGCCUUGCAUGGACAGAGGCAAGAACUGGGCCCAGCUGGGAAUUUGCCACCCCUGUCCAGCACCCUGCAGAAAAGUUGCCUCUCCAGCAGCCUUUUUUUCUGGGAACAGCUAUCUGCCCAUUGACUGCGAUGCUUCCGGAUCCAACAUGAACUUCAUCUAGCAGACAGCCGAUAUCAGCCUGAAAGGACUUACUUUCUUUAGGAUAUCCAAGGCCUAUAUCCGUGGCAAUUUCAGUCAGCUGAAUGCAGACAAUAGCCACACUUAUCUGAAAUGCUGCAACACUGGCAGCUAAUGCACGCUAAGUUAAUCACUGGCAUAUUUGUAGACUGCCAAGUAUAUAAUAGCGCGAUAAUGAAUUUGUAUGGCUGGGCCUAUAAAAACUUUGCUUUUUAUACUCAGGCAUUUUAAUUGACACAGAAAUACAUUUUAAAAGAGAAAGCAGGCUUGAUGAGGUCAGCUUAAAUUCCUUGGUAUAAUUACCAAGUCCAUUGAACACAAAUCUGAAAUCAUUUAGGUUAAGUUAAUAACUUAUGCCUUUAGUUUAUAAGCACCACAUUACAUUUCAGGAAGCUCAGAUCUUGGCUUUGCUAAAGUGGCCUGGCCUUUAAUAAAUUCCUCCCCACGUUUUUCAUGUUAUAGUUCUUUUACAAUCAUGGUUUUCAAAUGGCAGUGCAGGUACAGUGUGUUUAAAUCACCAUAAAUUAGACUUUUUUAUUUUUUUGUCUGGCUAUAGCACCUUUAUUGUAAGUUCUCUACUUUUCUUUCAGCCACAAAAGUUAUUACAGGCGCAGAUCGGAAAUGAAAAAUAAGCCAUGCACCGUCUGCGAAUGUCCCAUGCCAGACCCCUCCUGGAGCAGGAUCACUUUCAGAGUUUUCCAGAGGAUUUCACUCCAAAUUCACGCCUGAAUCACCACCAGCCCCACCAGCAAACAGGAGAGGGGCGGCACAAGGAGCAAAAAACCUCCUCUCUCACCGUGUUCCUGGGAUCUUCUUUACUCGGAGAGAUACUGAUAUCACAGAGGAGCCUACAGAGCCCUGUCUUGUUUAAUGUGCACAGGCUGACACUAAGACAGCAGCUUGAAAUGCAAAGGAACACAAGUACAGUAAUUGCAGCAUCUUGCGGUGGUGCUCACAACGCCGCCGCGCUCCUGACUGCCAGCCAAGAGGAAUUUCCCAGGGGGAUGUACAGCGAAACCUUCCUCUGGUGGGGCCAGACAAAGUGAUGUUUUGUUACUGAGCGGUAACAAAGAAAAUUCUUUUAAUUCCGUGCAAUGUGAACCUCCAGGUUCCAGCUCAGGUUUUGUGCUGUUUACAUAAGGAAUGAAAUGAGCACCAGCCACCGGAGCACUUGUGGAGGGCUGUGGAGGUGCUGUGUCCAGAAAGGGCAUAUUUUUCAGAAGAUGCCCAAUGGCAGAGCAGUGCCCGAGUCCUACCAAAUGAUUAAUGCGAGUUUUGUUCUUCUAUCUAAUUGGAGAUUUUGAAAUUCCUAUGGCAAUCUCAUACAAGCUCUAGAUGCACAAACAAGGCUCACCGUGCUCGAGCAGCUCCUCACCUGAGUCUCAAGCAAAGAGCCUGCAAAAAUGAGUUAGCUCAGUCCCACAGCCAUGCAGGUGGAUGAAGUAACCUGAAAAGAAGUGGUUUUAAUGGUUUGGAGACUAAAGGUAUCUGUGGCUGCUAGGGGCAGAAACAGAGAAGACAGACAUGCCCCUGGAGCAUCCCUCAGUGUGUCCAACAAGAGGCCUCAGGAGGAAGCAGCGGGGGUGUCCUAAGAAAUGAUGGGGGUCAGCAGGACGAGGGAGGAUGGCAGCCACUUAUUAUUAAUCCUGUUGCACAGGGCAGACCUUCCAUCACUCCUAUGAUGGAGAAAUGUAGGGUUCAGUCCUGUGGAUAUAGUUUUUAGGUACAAGAUUCAGACACUAUGGCCACCUACAUCCUGGUUUAGAAGAGGAGCUGAGGUAAGUGGGCUCAGGUUUCAAUGGGAAUUAGGCAACAAAUACUUCAAAAAUAUUUUCAGAAAUCUUUCAGGUGCCAAACUGCAGGUCGGGAGUGCUAAAUACCCCUAAAAAUCCACCCCUUGUACAAGCCAGAGUGUACAAGGCUAAAUCACAGAAUAAACUGGGAUGUGGGGAUCA